UACGGAGGAGGCAAGCGUUAUCCGGAAUUAUUGGGCGUAAAGCGUCCGCAGGUGGCGAUUCAAGUCUGCUGUCAAAGGUCGGGGCUUAACCCCGGGAAGGCAGUGGAAACUGAAUAGCUAGAGUGCGGUAGGGGCAGAGGGAAUUCCCGGUGUAGCGGUGAAAUGCGUAGAGAUCGGGAAGAACACCAGUGGCGAAAGCACUUUACUGGGCUAUUACUAACACUGAGAGACGAAAGCUAGGGUAGCAAAUGGG
Molecule: ribosomal RNA, 253 nt
Filed under: uncultured bacterium
Lineage: Bacteria
Description: partial 16S ribosomal RNA
Rfam family: Bacterial small subunit ribosomal RNA
Source: RNAcentral